GGGGCCGUAGCCCAACGGUAGAGGCCCGCGGUUUAGGUCCGCGUAAGUUCGGGUUCGAAUCCCGACGGCCCCACCG
This 76-nucleotide transfer RNA is filed under the name Thermostaphylospora chromogena. RNAcentral's name for it is "tRNA_Leu_TAG". It matches the Rfam family "tRNA". From Rfam's summary of the family: Transfer RNA (tRNA) molecules are approximately 80 nucleotides in length. Their secondary structure includes four short double-helical elements and three loops (D, anti-codon, and T loops). Lineage: Bacteria; Bacillati; Actinomycetota; Actinomycetes; Streptosporangiales; Thermomonosporaceae. The record is from RNAcentral.